GACGAACGCUGGCGGCGUGCCUAAUACAUGCAAGUCGAACGCUUUUCCUUUCACCGGAGCUUGCUCCACCGAAAGAAAAAGAGUGGCGAACGGGUGAGUAACACGUGGGUAACCUGCCCAUCAGAAGGGGAUAACACUUGGAAACAGGUGCUAAUACCGUAUAACACUAUUUUCCGCAUGGAAGAAAGUUGAAAGGCGCUUUUGCGUCACUGAUGGAUGGACCCGUGGUGCAUUAGCUAGUUGGUGAGGUAACGGCUCACCAAGGCAACGAUGCAUAGCCGACCUGAGAGGGUGAUCGGCCACACUGGGACUGAGACACGGCCCAGACUCCUACGGGAGGCAGCAGUAGGGAAUCUUCGGCAAUGGACGGAAGUCUGACCGAGCAACGCCGCGUGAGUGAAGAAGGUUUUCGGAUCGUAAAACUCUGUUGUUAGAGAAGAACAAGGAUGAGAGUAAAAUGUUCAUCCCUUGACGGUAUCUAACCAGAAAGCCACGGCUAACUACGUGCCAGCCGCCGCCGUAA
RNAcentral lists this ribosomal RNA (523 nucleotides) under uncultured bacterium. RNAcentral describes it as "partial 16S ribosomal RNA". It matches the Rfam family "Bacterial small subunit ribosomal RNA", at positions 28 to 523 of the family's 1533-position model. The record is from RNAcentral.